RNAcentral lists this ribosomal RNA (440 nucleotides) under uncultured bacterium. RNAcentral's name for it is "partial 16S ribosomal RNA". It matches the Rfam family "Bacterial small subunit ribosomal RNA", at positions 338 to 795 of the family's 1533-position model. The record is from RNAcentral.
CCUACGGGUGGCAGCAGUGGGGAAUAUUGCACAAUGGGGGAAACCCUGAUGCAGCGACGCCGCGUGAGUGAAGAAGUAAUUCGUUAUGUAAAGCUCUAUCAGCAGGGAAGAAAAUGACGGUACCUGAGUAAGAAGCCCCGGCUAACUACGUGCCCGCAGCCGCGGUAAUACGUAGGGGGCAAGCUUUAUCCGGAUUUAAUGGGUGUAAAGGGAGCGUAGACGGCAGUGAAAGUCUGUGGUGAAAGGCGGGGGUUCAACCCACGGCCUGUCCUGGAAACUGUACGGCUUGAGUGCAGGAGAGGUAAGUGGAAUUCCUAGUGUAGCGGUGAAAUGCGUAGAUAUUAGGAGGAACACCAGUGGCGAAGGCGGCUUACUGGACUGUAACUGACGUUGAGGCUCGAAAGCGUGGGGAGCAAACAGGAUUAGAUACCCCAGUAGUC